GCUGUUGCUUCGGGUUGAAACCGGAAUGCUGCCAGGAUGCCGGCCUACCACUCUACUCUCAUGGACCCAGAUACCAAACUCAUUGGAAACAUAGCACUGUUGCCCAUCAGAAGUCAGUUCAAAGGACCCGCUCCUCGAGAAACAAAAGAUACAGAUAUUGUGGAUGAAGCCAUCUAUUACUUCAAGGCCAAUGUCUUCUUCAAAAACUACGAAAUCAAGAAUGAAGCCGACAGGACCUUGAUCUAUAUCACUCUCUACAUUUCUGAGUGUCUAAAGAAACUCCAAAAGUGCAAUUCCAAAAGCCAAGGUGAGAAAGAAAUGUACACACUGGGAAUCAUGAACUUUCCCAUUCCUGGAGAGCCCGGCUUUCCCCUCAAUGCAAUUUAUGCCAAACCUGCAAACAAACAGGAAGAUGAAGUGAUGCGAGCGUACCUCCAGCAGCUGAGGCAAGAGACUGGACUGAGACUUUGUGACAAAGUUUUUGACCCUCAGAACGAUAAACCCAGCAAGUGGUGGACUUGCUUUGUGAAGAGACAGUUCAUGAACAAGAGUCUUUCAGGACCUGGGCAGUGAAGGAAGCCUGAGCAGCACUGCUUGACAGCAGGAUGUACACAGUCCUCUGCCUUUGUUUCAUACAGUUCCCUAUGGAAGAGAGAAGAGAGUGCU
Nannospalax galili (Upper Galilee mountains blind mole rat) is the source of this 666-nucleotide RNA transcript. It is a transcript of the gene named actin-related protein 2/3 complex subunit 3 pseudogene, with no coding region annotated. Lineage: Eukaryota; Metazoa; Chordata; Mammalia; Rodentia; Spalacidae. The record is from RefSeq and is a predicted model, not a curated record. The transcript has a single exon.